Molecule: long non-coding RNA, 263 nt
Filed under: Lathyrus oleraceus (garden pea)
Lineage: Eukaryota; Viridiplantae; Streptophyta; Magnoliopsida; Fabales; Fabaceae
Description: Pisum sativum (pea) long non-coding RNA (PSAT_LNC011186)
Source: RNAcentral
UGCCUUGUAUGAGCUUGUUUGAGUAUGCUUUGGCUUGAUGAAUUUAAUUGACUUGCUUCCCUUUGUCCAAAUGGCCUGAAAUUUGGUGUGAUGAUCCUUUAAUGAGUGCUGUUUAGCCAUGAAUGUUUUGGGAAUUUAUUGAAUUGUUUGUGAGUUGAUUUGAAUUGGAUCUUUCUGUUUGGUCCUAUGAGGUUCUAAAUUGCAUGCUUUGUACUCUUUGCUUCAUGAAAUGAUAAUGGUUGAUGAUAUGAAUGUGAGACCAC